Molecule: ribosomal RNA, 385 nt
Filed under: uncultured bacterium
Lineage: Bacteria
Description: bacterial SSU rRNA
Rfam family: Bacterial small subunit ribosomal RNA
Source: RNAcentral
AAUGGGGGAAACCCUGACGCAGCAACGCCGCGUGAGUGAUGUAGGUCUUCGGAUUGUAAAACUCUGUCUUUGGGGACGAUAAUGACGGUACCUGAGGAGGAGGCCACGGCUAACUACGUGCCAGCAGCCGCGGUAAUACGUAGGUGGCAAGCGUUGUCCGGAUUUACUGGGCGUAAAGAGUAUGUAGGCGGAUAUUUAAGUCAGAUGUGAAAUUCCCGGGCUUAACCUGGGAGCUGCAUUUGAUACUGGGUAUCUAGAGUGCGGGAGAGGAAAGUGGAAUUCCUAGUGUAGCGGUGAAAUGCGUAGAUAUUAGGAGGAACACCAGUGGCGAAGGCGGCUUUCUGGACGAUAACUGACGCUGAGGCGCGAAAGCGUGGGGAGCAAA